UCGAACGAUCUGGAGAGGUGCGAGGACUGUCGCUGUGACCACCGGGGCGCAUGCACGUCUUUUCGCUGAUCCAUCGCUAUCACACACACCCGCGUGCACCCUUUGUAGGUCCUCGAGAGAGGCUCUACGUUUUCAUACAUUCUCUGCGUCGCAUGUCCCAUGAAAACGAAGGAGAUAGUUUGUAUACAACUUUCAACGACGGAUCUCUUGGCUCUCGCAUCGAUGAAGAACGCAGCGAAUCGCGAUAUGUAAUGUGAAUUGCAGAUAUUCAGUGAAUCAUCGAAUCUUUGAACGCACCUUGCGCUCCUUGGUAUUCCGAGGAGCAUGCCUGUUUGAGUGUCAUUGAAUUCUCAACCGUGCGUCUUUGUCGAGACGCACGGCUUGGACUUUGAGGGCUUGUCGGCCUGGUCCGUUCGUGCUGGCGAACGUUCUCGGAGUCCGACUCUCUUGAAAUGCAUUAGUGGAUCGACGUGCGAUGGACGGUAUGGUCCGAGACGUGUGCAUGCAUGGCCUCGUCGACGUGAUUAUGAUCGUCGUCAGGGUCUGGGCAUGAUCUGGACUGGAGCCCCCUCCUCGCAUGCCUUGUUCGCUUCCAACCAAGGAUGCCUCUCUUUUGACGU
RNAcentral lists this small RNA (620 nucleotides) under uncultured Boletaceae. RNAcentral describes it as "eukaryotic LSU rRNA". The stretch from base 188 to 342 matches the Rfam family "5.8S ribosomal RNA". The record is from RNAcentral. Lineage: Eukaryota; Fungi; Basidiomycota; Agaricomycetes; Boletales; Boletaceae.